Molecule: ribosomal RNA, 213 nt
Filed under: Myrmicocrypta sp. 07.FGSGt
Lineage: Eukaryota; Metazoa; Arthropoda; Insecta; Hymenoptera; Formicidae
Description: partial large subunit ribosomal RNA
Source: RNAcentral
GAAUUUUAUAUAUUAUAAAUUAGGGAUAAAGUUUAAUUAAUAAUUUAUAAAAUAUUUAGUUGGGGGGAUUAUUAAAUUGAAUAAACUUAAGUUGUGAAAAUAUCAUAGAUUAGUGUAAAUGAAAAGAAUGAUAAUGAAAUUAAAUAAGAAUUAAUUACCUUAGGGAUAACAGCGUAAUAUUAUUAGAGAGAUCAUAUUGAUAAUAGUGUUUGC